CAGUCGCCGCGGUAAUACGUAGGUGGCAAGCGUUGUCCGGAUUUAUUGGGCGUAAAGCGAGCGCAGGCGGUCAAUUAAGUCUGAUGUGAAAGCCCACGGCUCAACCGUGGAGGGUCAUUGGAAACUGUUUAACUUGAGUGCAAGAGGGGAGAGUGGAAUUCCAUGUGUAGCGGUGAAAUGCGUAGAUAUAUGGAGGAACACCGGUGGCGAGAGCGGCUCUCUGGCUUGUAACUGACGCUGAGGCUCGAAAGCGUGGGGAGCAAACAGGAUUAGAUACCCCCGUAGUCCCUGUCUCUUAUAC
RNAcentral lists this ribosomal RNA (301 nucleotides) under uncultured bacterium. RNAcentral describes it as "partial 16S ribosomal RNA". It matches the Rfam family "Bacterial small subunit ribosomal RNA", at positions 509 to 807 of the family's 1533-position model. The record is from RNAcentral.